UAACACAUGCAAGUCGAACGAAGCAUUGGAGUUGAUCCCUCGGGUGACGCACCUAUGACUAGUGGCGGACGGGUGAGUAACACGUGAGCAACCUGCCUCUCAGAGUGGAAUAACAGUUGGAAACGGCUGCUAAUACCACAUAACGUUUUUGUGCCGCAUGACACUUCAACCAAAGAUUUAUCGCUGAGAGAUGGGCUCGCGUCCGAUUAGGUAGAUGGUGGGGUAACGGCCUACCAUGCCGACGAUCGGUAGCCGGACUGAGAGGUUGAUCGGCCACAUUGGGACUGAGACACGGCCCAGACUCCUACGGGAGGCAGCAGUGGGGGAUAUUGCACAAUGGGCGCAAGCCUGAUGCAGCAACGCCGCGUGCGGGGAGACGGCCUUCGGGUUGUAAACCGCUGUCCUUGGGGAAGAAACAAAAUGACGGUACCCAAGAAGGAAGCCACGGCUAACUACGUGCCAGCCGCUGC
RNAcentral lists this ribosomal RNA (470 nucleotides) under uncultured bacterium. RNAcentral's name for it is "bacterial SSU rRNA". It matches the Rfam family "Bacterial small subunit ribosomal RNA", at positions 49 to 518 of the family's 1533-position model. The record is from RNAcentral.